This 446-nucleotide ribosomal RNA is filed under the name uncultured bacterium. Its description in RNAcentral is "bacterial SSU rRNA". It matches the Rfam family "Bacterial small subunit ribosomal RNA", at positions 329 to 792 of the family's 1533-position model. The record is from RNAcentral.
CCCCAGACUCCUACGGGAGGCAGCAGUGGGGAAUAUUGCACAAUGGGGGAAACCCUGAUGCAGCGACGCCGCGUGAGCGAUGAAGUAUUUCGGUAUGUAAAGCUCUAUCAGCAGGGAAGAAGAUGACGGUACCUGACUAAGAAGCCCCGGCUAACUACGUGCCAGCAGCCGCGGUAAUACGUAGGGGGCAAGCGUUAUCCGGAUUUACUGGGUGUAAAGGGAGCGUAGACGGCGAUGCAAGCCAGAUGUGAAAGCCCGGGGCUCAACCCCGGGACUGCAUUUGGAACUGUGUGGCUGGAGUGUCGGAGAGGCAGGCGGAAUUCCUAGUGUAGCGGUGAAAUGCGUAGAUAUUAGGAGGAACACCAGUGGCGAAGGCGGCCUGCUGGACGACAACUGACGGUGAGGCGCGAAAGCGUGGGGAGCAAACAGGAUUAGAUACCCCGGUA